GACGAACGCUGGCGGCGUGCUUAACACAUGCAAGUCGAACGGAAAGGCCCUGCUUUUGUGGGGUGCUCGAGUGGCGAACGGGUGAGUAACACGUGAGUAACCUGCCCUUGACUUUGGGAUAACUUCAGGAAACUGGGGCUAAUACCGGAUAGGAGCUCCUGCUGCAUGGUGGGGGUUGGAAAGUUUCGGCGGUUGGGGAUGGACUCGCGGCUUAUCAGCUUGUUGGUGGGGUAGUGGCUUACCAAGGCUUUGACGGGUAGCCGGCCUGAGAGGGUGACCGGCCACAUUGGGACUGAGAUACGGCCCAGACUCCUACGGGAGGCAGCAGUGGGGAAUAUUGCACAAUGGGCGGAAGCCUGAUGAAGCAACGCCGCGUGCGGGAUGACGGCCUUCGGGUUUUAAACCGCUUUCGCCUGUGACGAAGCGUGAGUGACGGUAAUGGGUAAAGAAGCACCGGCUAACUACGUG
RNAcentral lists this ribosomal RNA (468 nucleotides) under uncultured bacterium. RNAcentral's name for it is "partial 16S ribosomal RNA". It matches the Rfam family "Bacterial small subunit ribosomal RNA", at positions 28 to 507 of the family's 1533-position model. The record is from RNAcentral.